AUUGAACGCUGGCGGCAUGCCUUACACAUGCAAGUCGUACGAGAAAGGGUCCUUCGGGACCUGAGUAAAGUGGCGCACGGGUGAGUAACGCGUGGAUAAUCUGCCCUUCAGUUGGGAAUAACUCAUCGAAAGGUGGGCUAAUACCGAAUAACGCUGUGAGACCUUGGUCGAUCAGCCAAAGAGAGCCUCUGCUUGCAUGCCCUCGCUGAAGGAUGAGUCCGCGUACCAUUAGCUUGUUGGUAGGGUAAUGGCCUACCAAGGCGACGAUGGUUAGCUGGUCUGAGAGGAUGAUCAGCCACACUGGAACUGAGAUACGGUCCAGACUCCUACGGGAGGCAG
RNAcentral lists this ribosomal RNA (339 nucleotides) under uncultured Pseudomonadota bacterium. RNAcentral describes it as "bacterial SSU rRNA". It matches the Rfam family "Bacterial small subunit ribosomal RNA", at positions 30 to 351 of the family's 1533-position model. The record is from RNAcentral. Lineage: Bacteria; Pseudomonadati; Pseudomonadota.